This 506-nucleotide ribosomal RNA is filed under the name uncultured bacterium. Its description in RNAcentral is "partial 16S ribosomal RNA". It matches the Rfam family "Bacterial small subunit ribosomal RNA", at positions 29 to 523 of the family's 1533-position model. The record is from RNAcentral.
AGUGAACGCUGGCGGUAGGCCUAACACAUGCAAGUCGAACGGCAGCACAGGAGAGCUUGCUCUCUGGGUGGCGAGUGGCGGACGGGUGAGGAAUACAUCGGAAUCUACUCUGUCGUGGGGGAUAACGUAGGGAAACUUACGCUAAUACCGCAUACGCCCUACGGGUGAAAGCAGGGGACCUUCGGGCCUUGCCCGAUUGAAUGAGCCGAUGUCGGAUUAGCUAGUUGGCGGGGUAAAGGCCCACCAAGGGGACGAUCCGUAGCUGGUCUGAGAGGAUGAUCAGCCACACUGGAACUGAGACACGGUCCAGACUCCUACGGGAGGCAGCAGUGGGGAAUAUUGGACAAUGGGCGCAAGCCUGAUCCAGCCAUACCGCGUGGGUGAAGAAGGCCUUCGGGUUGUAAAGCCCUUUUGUUGGGAAAGAAAUCCAGCUGGCUAAUACCCGGUUGGGAUGACGGUACCCAAAGAAUAAGCACCGGCUAACUUCGUGCCAGCCGCCGCGGUAA